Mustela putorius furo (domestic ferret) is the source of this 131-nucleotide small nucleolar RNA. Lineage: Eukaryota; Metazoa; Chordata; Mammalia; Carnivora; Mustelidae. The record is from Ensembl.
GCUGAGGUCUAUCCUGAUGGGGCCUUCUCCAGAGACCUGCAUCGCUGGGAAGGCCUCGUACAGAAUACGUGUGGUCUCCGCUAUUCGCAGAACUAUGUGUUAGAUCUGUGGGAAGGAACUACAGGACUUCA